AGCCAACCCGCGGUCAAGAGAGUAAUCAUGCUGCCACGGGAUGGGCGCGGCGCGAUCGCUCGAUCGGAAGCGUGACAUGCGUGCGAGCUAGCUAGGCUAAAACUAAACGCUCCUCUGAAAUCCGAAAGGCGAGGCAGGAUGAGUACGCUCUGCUCUGUCAUGGCCCGCGUCCAGCAAACCCCGACGUGUUUGGUGAGUUGCCAUGGCCAUGGCCAUGGUCAUGGCGUGUAUAAAUGGCGCGCCCGGCGAUCGGCUCCGGCACCCGCACUCGCCGAGCCAAGCAAUACACAGUAGUGAGCAAUAGUAGGCAGCGCAGCAGGAUACAUAGCAGUUAGCACCACAGCGAGCAGCUGCCCGUACGCACGCUUGAUGGCGAUGGCGAUGGCGAGCUUCGUCGCUCAGCUCAAGGACAUGUUCCUCGGCCUCGUCGACCGCGUCACCGGCUGCCGCGGCUGUGGCGGAGACAAGCAGGACGUGCCGGAGGCAACCAAGUUAGCAAGCCUCCAGCCCGUUGAGAUCAGGUCGAGAGACCCCGUUGUGGGCGGAGGAUCCGUGGCUGGGGCCAAUUGAUUGCUAAUACUGCCAGACAAGCUGCACGAGAUUGCUGUGGCGUUCCAGCAAAUUCCAAGCUUUUUUUUUAUUUGUUAUUUUUCGUCAAAGGAAGCUGUUCUUUCCACACACAAAAAAGCGCAUAAUGCGUGUGCAGUGUUAUUGAUUGAUUUCUCCUCUAUGAUUGUAAUUGAACCCGGUAUUUUUUUUUCUUUUUCGUUUGUUUCUUUUGGCGUUACCAUUGUGAUUCCGAGUUUACGUACAUGCUGUAUCUUGCUAUCUUCAAGUAAACAAUAAACAGUAAUGGUUUGACCAAUA
This is a long non-coding RNA of Zea mays, 867 nucleotides long. RefSeq lists it as uncharacterized. The record is from RefSeq and is a predicted model, not a curated record. NCBI's taxonomy places the organism in Eukaryota, Viridiplantae, Streptophyta, Magnoliopsida, Poales, Poaceae. The transcript has 2 exons.